RNAcentral lists this ribosomal RNA (359 nucleotides) under uncultured Bacteroides sp. RNAcentral's name for it is "bacterial SSU rRNA". It matches the Rfam family "Bacterial small subunit ribosomal RNA", at positions 346 to 702 of the family's 1533-position model. The record is from RNAcentral. Lineage: Bacteria; Pseudomonadati; Bacteroidota; Bacteroidia; Bacteroidales; Bacteroidaceae.
AGGCAGCAGUGAGGAAUAUUGGUCAAUGGGCGAAAGYCUGAACCAGCCAAGUAGCGUGAAGGAUGACUGCCCUAUGGGUUGUAAACUUCUUUUAUASGGGAAUAAAAUGAGCCACGUGUGGMUUUUUGUAUGUACCCUAUGAAUAAGGAUCGGCUAACUCCGUGCCAGCAGCCGCGGUAAUACGGAGGAUCCGAGCGUUAUCCGGAUUUAUUGGGUUUAAAGGGAGCGUAGRUGGACAKGUAAGUCAGUUGUGAAAGUUUGCGGCUCAACCGUAAAAUUGCARUUGAUACUGUGUGUCUUGAGUACAGUAGAGGUGGGCGGAAUUCRUGGUGUAGCGGUGAAAUGCUUAGAUAUCACGA